UAAAGUCUAAUCUGCCCACUGAUAUAAUAUUAAAGGGCUGCAGUAUUUUGAGUGUACAAAGGUAGCAUAAUCAUUAGUCUUUUAAUUGAAGACUUGUAUGAAUGAUUGGAUGAAAUAUAAASUGUCUCUAAUAUUAUUAGUUAGAAUUUAAUUUUUUUAUUAAAAAGUAAAAAUAAAUUUAAAAGACGAGAAGACCCUAUAGAGUUUUAUAAUUAAUUUAAUUGAAAUUAUUUAUAAAGAUAAUUUUAAAUUAAUAAAUUAAAAUUAAGUUAAUUAUUUUGUUGGGGUGAUAAAAAAAUAAAAAUAACUUUUUUUAAUAAAUAUAUAUAUAUAUAUAUAUAUAUAUAUAUAUUGUAAACAAAAAUAAAUGAUUUUUUGAUCCAGAAUUUUUGAUUAUAAGAAAAAAUUACCUUAGGGAUAACAGCGUAAUUUUUUUUUUUAGUUCAAAUAAGAAAAAGAGUUUGCGACCUCGAUGUUGGAUUAAGGAAAAAUUUAAAUGCAAAAGUUUAAAAUUUUG
RNAcentral lists this ribosomal RNA (517 nucleotides) under Cryptoses choloepi. RNAcentral's name for it is "partial 16S ribosomal RNA". The record is from RNAcentral. Lineage: Eukaryota; Metazoa; Arthropoda; Insecta; Lepidoptera; Pyralidae.